UGGAUGAGCUGUGGGUAGGGGUGAAAGGCCAAUCAAACUCGGAGAUAGCUGGUUCUCUGCGAAAUCUAUUUAGGUAGAGCGUCAUCCGAAUACCCCCGGGGGUAGAGCACUGGAUGGGUAAUGGGGCCCCACAGGCUUACUGAUCCUAACCAAACUCCGAAUACCGAGGAGUACUAGAUGGCAGACACACUGCGGAUGCUAACGUCCGUAGUGAAGAGGGAAACAACCCUGACCUACAGCUAAGGCCCCUAAUUCAUGGCUAAGUGGGAAAGCAGGUGGGACGACCAAAACAACCAGGAGGUUGGCUUAGAAGCAGCCAUCCUUUAAAGAUAGCGUAACAGCUCACUGGUCUAAAUAAGUUGUCCUGCGGCGAAGAUGUAACGGGGCUCAAGCCAUGAGCCGAAGCUUAGGAUGCACAUAGUGCAUGGUAGCAGAGCGUAGUGUGACAUAACUCCAUGUCUCCUUACCCACUUCGGUGGGAUUGGAGACGAGGAGUUUUCUGUGAAGCCGGCGCGUGAGCGAUCCGGUGGAGAGAUCACUAGUGAGAAUGAUGACAUGAGUAGCGACAAAGAGUGUGAGAGACACUCUCGCCGAAAGUCCAAGGGUUCCUGCUUAAAGCUAAUCUGAGCAGGGUAAGCCGACCCCUAAGGCGAGGCCGAAAGGCGUAGUCGAUGGGAACCAGGUUAAUAUUCCUGGGCCGUGGAGUGGUGACGGAUCUCGAAGGUAGUUCAUCCUUAUUGGAUUGAAUGGGCUGCUUAGAGGUUCCUGGAAAUAGCCCUCCUAUAAGAUCGUACCCUAAACCGACACAGGUGGAA
RNAcentral lists this ribosomal RNA (815 nucleotides) under Thalassiosira minuscula. Its description in RNAcentral is "partial Bacterial large subunit ribosomal RNA". It matches the Rfam family "Bacterial large subunit ribosomal RNA", at positions 801 to 1668 of the family's 2925-position model. The record is from RNAcentral. Lineage: Eukaryota; Bacillariophyta; Thalassiosirophyceae; Thalassiosirales; Thalassiosiraceae.